UACGUAGGUGGCGAGCGUUAUCCGGAAUGAUUGGGCGUAAAGGGUGCGUAGGCGGCCUGCUAAGUCUGGAGUGAAAGGUACCGGCUCAACCGGUACAGGCUCUGGAAACUGGCGGGCUAGAGAGCAGGAGAGGGCGGUGGAACUCCAUGUGUAGCGGUAAAAUGCAUAGAUAUCACGCAGAACUCCGAUCGCGAAGGCAGCCUACCGGCGCGCAACUGACGCUCAUGCACGAAAGCGUGGGUAUCGAACAGG
Molecule: ribosomal RNA, 252 nt
Filed under: uncultured bacterium
Lineage: Bacteria
Description: partial 16S ribosomal RNA
Rfam family: Bacterial small subunit ribosomal RNA
Source: RNAcentral